GUAUGCAGUCAUACCAACACUAACGCACCGGAUUCCAUCAGAACUCCGAAAUUAAGCGCGCAUGGGCGAGAGUAGUACUAGGAUGGGUGACCUCCUGGGAAGACCUCGUGUUGCAUCCC
Lycium barbarum (goji berry) is the source of this 119-nucleotide ribosomal RNA. The record is from RefSeq and is a predicted model, not a curated record. NCBI's taxonomy places the organism in Eukaryota, Viridiplantae, Streptophyta, Magnoliopsida, Solanales, Solanaceae.